RNAcentral lists this ribosomal RNA (481 nucleotides) under uncultured bacterium. RNAcentral describes it as "SSU rRNA". It matches the Rfam family "Bacterial small subunit ribosomal RNA", at positions 26 to 524 of the family's 1533-position model. The record is from RNAcentral.
AGGACGAACGCUGGCGGCGUGCUUAACACAUGCAAGUCGAACGGUGAAGCCUUUCGGGGUGGAUCAGUGGCGAACGGGUGAGUAACACGUGGGCAAUCUGCCCUGCAUUCUGGGACAAGCCUUGGAAACGAGGUCUAAUACCGGAUACGACGCAUCUCCGCAUGGGGUGUGCGUGGAAAGCUCCGGCGAUGCAGGAUGAGCCCGCGGCCUAUCAGCUUGUUGGUGGGGUAAUGGCCUACCAAGGCGACGACGGGUAGCCGGCCUGAGAGGGCGACCGGCCACACUGGGGACUGAGACACGGCCCAGACUCCUACGGGAGGCAGCAGUGGGGAAUAUUGCACAAUGGGCGAAAGCCUGAUGCAGCGACGCCGCGUGAGGGAUGACGGCCUUCGGGUUGUAACCUCUUUCAGCAGGGAGAAGCGCAAGUGACGGUACCUGCAGAAGAAGCACCGGCUAACUACGUGCCAGCAGCCGCGGUAAU